Molecule: ribosomal RNA, 465 nt
Filed under: uncultured bacterium
Lineage: Bacteria
Description: partial 16S ribosomal RNA
Rfam family: Bacterial small subunit ribosomal RNA
Source: RNAcentral
GACGAACGCUGGCGGCGUGCUUAACACAUGCAAGUCGAACGGAAAGGCCCUGCUUGCCGGGUACUCGAGUGGCGAACGGGUGAGUAACACGUGGGUGAUCUGCCCUGCACUUCGGGAUAAGCCUGGGAAACUGGGUCUAAUACCGGAUAGGAGCCAUUUUUAGUGUGAUGGUUGGAAAGUUUUUUCGGUGUAGGAUGAGCUCGCGGCCUAUCAGCUUGUUGGUGGGGUAAUGGCCUACCAAGGCGGCGACGGGUAGCCGGCCUGAGAGGGUGGACGGCCACAUUGGGACUGAGAUACGGCCCAGACUCCUACGGGAGGCAGCAGUGGGGAAUAUUGCACAAUGGGCGCAAGCCUGAUGCAGCGACGCCGCGUGGGGGAGGACGGCCUUCGGGUUGUAAACUCCUUCCGCUAGGGACGAAGCUUUUUGUGACGGUACCUAGAGAAGAAGCACCGGCUAACUACGUG